GCAAGAGAAAAUUACUUCGAAAUUGCCAAUACGAAAGAAUUACGAAUUUUCGGACCAUAGAUAAUCCUCAGCGACUUGGCACUGAUGAUUCAAUUGUGAAAGCAUUUCGCCAGCCGGAUAUGGCAUUAAAAUAAUACAUUAACUUCACCAAACGUUGCGUCGCCCACACAAAAAUGUGAUUAAUUUAAAGGAAGGCAUUUCGGUGGUGUAGGAAACUCACAAAGUUAUUAACGGAGAGUCCCCGCCUAAUACAAUUCACGAGUAAUAGCAUUGUAAUAAAAACAAAUUUCCACAAA
Molecule: long non-coding RNA, 296 nt
Organism: Drosophila elegans
Lineage: Eukaryota; Metazoa; Arthropoda; Insecta; Diptera; Drosophilidae
Exons: 2
Source: RefSeq, a predicted model, not a curated record